GGGGUUGUAGUUCAGUGGAGAGCACUUGCCUAGCACGUAUGAGGGACUGGGUUCAAUUCUCAGCACCA
This 68-nucleotide transfer RNA is filed under the name Ictidomys tridecemlineatus (thirteen-lined ground squirrel). RNAcentral describes it as "Spermophilus tridecemlineatus (thirteen-lined ground squirrel) tRNA". It matches the Rfam family "tRNA". From Rfam's summary of the family: Transfer RNA (tRNA) molecules are approximately 80 nucleotides in length. Their secondary structure includes four short double-helical elements and three loops (D, anti-codon, and T loops). Lineage: Eukaryota; Metazoa; Chordata; Mammalia; Rodentia; Sciuridae. The record is from Rfam by way of RNAcentral.